AUGGUAACUGUACAUGGAUUUGCCAAUGGUACUAAUGAUGGCACUGCCAACAGGAAGAUUAAGCGCCUUUUUAACUCAUCAGAGAGGAAGAACCCCACCAAUUUCCAAUUUGAGCGUCAUGUAGCUCGUCUUGAAUCUAGACAGCAGCAGCAACCCAGGCGGUGUAUCUUCACGACGAUCUUACCGAUUGAGUUCUUCCACACCUCAUCUGAACCUACAUCUCCAGAAGAUAGCCUUGGCCCGUCAUCCUCCUCGCCAUCAAUUAUUUUCUUGCAUUUUAGUGUGGCAGAUGAACCUCUCAGAAAAUAUUCAUCUAAUCAAAGGCUGCUGGCAGAGCGAUCCACAUCAUCCAAUAGUAUGUCCAAUUCAGGUUUCUCAGACAAUACCUCUACCAAGACAAGGGUGGAUGCAAGGCAUACUACAAGAAGGAAGAGCAAAAAGAAAAACAAGAAGCAGAAGAAACACUUCAAAAAGCCAGCUGAUGGAUCUGAAAUUACAUGCGCAGAGAGCAACGGCUCUACCCCUUCAGUCGAUAUGGUUGAUUCUUGUGAAGGUUCGACACUUUCACCUAAGCAUGUUGGUGAUAUACUGUUUGAGGAAACCUUUUCUCCUAGUUCUUCGGUGAAAGAAGCCUCUGAAAAGGCUCCUGACAGUGAAAAUGAUAAUGAGUACAAUGGCUGUUCAGUUGCUUCUGUUUCAAGUGCGUCUUACUCUGAUGAGACAGAACUGUCUAGACCAACUACAUCAGGCCUGGAAUUGUUUGGACAAUGUAACAGCAGUGACUGCAGAUGCUUGGAUGAUACUCCAAAUUGUGACCUGAUGGAUUCAUCUCAAGAGCUUCAUUAUGCUAGCAGGAGUGGGAACUGUAGUGAUAUGACCAAGGCACUGUUCAGAAAUGAUUGUGUACAUGAUCCAUGUGAAACAGCAGAAUUUUGCAGCUCUAGUGAUGGAGUUGAUGAUAGUUGGCUAGAGAAUUCCAACUGCAGUAGUAGCUUUUGUUCUGAAAAUGGCAGCAGAGGCAGUGAUUUUCAUCUAGUAAUUUCGAGAAAGAGAGCCAGAAAAGAGAGGAAAAUGUCAAUGUGGAAGAGCUUUAAUGGGGAGCAUGCAUCUGCUGUUACGCAUGGCCCAAAUGAAAAAUAUACUGGCCGCUCUUCUAGGCAGAUGAUUAAGGAACUCAACACUAAGGAGUGGUCACAUAGACCAGAUCAUGUUGGUAGCAUACAGCCUCAGCAUGGGGUUGCGUUGAAACGCUCCAUCAAGAAUUUCAUCCAUAGGAGGAGUAACGAAGUUCCACUUCAGUUCUUUGAAUCAGGAGCAAGUCACAAUCAUUUUACAAGUCCAAAAGAAAACAUCAAUAGCAAAUCAAAUGGUGAUUUUGACAAAGAGCAGAACAUUGAUUUAAACAAAAGGCUACCCAAUGCUGUGUACUGCAGUGAGUCAAGUUCUUGUGAGAUGUUAUCAAAUUCAGCUUCUGAACCUACAACUUCCGAGUCUGCGCAGGACAACUGUACUUCAGAAUCUGGUGAAUCAACAGAUCAUAUUGUAGGAGAUUUUCCCAUGCAGAAAACAGGAUUACAAGGUUCAUUCCAAGCCAAUGAUGUGACAGGUUCUGGACCACCAUCACCUGAUCCUAAGUCCACUCAGACUGACUUAGUGAUUGGAUGCGGUGUAACUCCUUUUGUUGAAGGGAAUCACAGAUUAGGAAAGUUUUGCAGUUCUGAAAUGCAUCUAAUUGAGAUGAUCAAGGUUGUUAAUGAUGCCUAUGAGGUGCAAGUUGCUGCAGAUGCCUACAUGUCUGCUGGUUAUCCGAUUACUGAUCUCGAGACAUUUAUAUACUCUGCAACUCCAGUCAUUGGUCAUGUUCCUUGUGUGAAAAACAGAAACUGUUCACAGGAUCAAGUUGUCAGGAACUCAGCUUAUCAGCAGUACAUGUCUAAUAUUAACCUAAGGAAUAUAUGGGAAUGGUAUGAAGAGCCAGGGUGCUAUGGGUUGGAAGUAAGAGAUCUCAAUGAUCUCAGUUCCUUGACAUCACACCACAAGAGUUCAGAGUUCUGUGCAUAUUUUGUACCUUACCUGUCUGCUAUUCAGUUGUUUGGGUGGUCUACGAAGAAUAUGGAUAAUGGUUUUGAUGUACAAGAGGGACAUUUGUUGGGGGCAUCGAAUACCACAAGCGUUUUGAGUUCUCAACCUGUGCCUGCGAAACUGCAUAAACCAUUUGAGCAAAGUAACACAUCCUUUUCAGAAUCAUCUUCUUCUGCGCAUGCUCAUGGAGAACUCAUUUUUGAAUACUUCGAAACAGAGCAGCCUUCUUUUCGACCUCCGUUGUUUGAAAAAAUCAAGGAGCUUAGCUGCCUAAAUGUAUCUGGUGACUCUGAAAAGCUACAAAAUGUGAAAUUACGUGAGCUGCAUCCGGCUUCUUGGUACUGUGUUGCUUGGUAUCCUGUUUAUCGCGUACCUCAUGGGAACUUCCGUGCAUCAUUCUUGACAUACCAUUCACUGGGUAAACUGGUUCCACAAAUAUGCUCCCCAGAUUCUAGUGGUGGUCAGGACACCCGAAUAGUUUGCCCGGCUGUUGGUAUGCAGAGUUACAAUGACAAGGGUGAGCAAUGGUUUGAGCUGAGAUGUCGAGAUUCCUCGAAGCCCAGUUGCGCUGAAGUUGUGGAGGAGAGGCUGAGGACACUGAAGCGAGGUGCAUUCGCGAUGGCAAGGGCUGUCAUUCCUAGGGGAUCCGAGGAGUCGUCUGCGAACCACCAUCCAGAUUAUGAGUUUUUCCUGUCCCGGUCUACCUAG
RNAcentral lists this ribosomal RNA (2790 nucleotides) under Triticum aestivum (bread wheat). Its description in RNAcentral is "partial small subunit ribosomal RNA". Lineage: Eukaryota; Viridiplantae; Streptophyta; Magnoliopsida; Poales; Poaceae. The record is from RNAcentral.